GAUGAACGCUGGCGGCGUGCCUAAUACAUGCAAGUAGAACGCUGAAGGAGGAGCUUGCUCUUCUGGAUGAGUUGCGAACGGGUGAGUAACGCGUAGGUAACCUGCCUGGUAGCGGGGGAUAACUAUUGGAAACGAUAGCUAAUACCGCAUGACAACAGUUAUUGCAUGAUAACUGUUUAAAAGGGGCAACUGCUCCACUACCAGAUGGACCUGCGUUGUAUUAGCUAGUUGGUGAGGUAACGGCUCACCAAGGCGACGAUACAUAGCCGACCUGAGAGGGGGAUCGGCCACCCUGGGACUGAGACACGGCCCAGACUCCUACGGGAGGCAGCAGUAGGGAAUCUUCGGCAAUGGACGGAAGUCUGACCGAGCAACGCCGCGUGAGUGAAGAAGGUUUUCGGAUCGUAAAGCUCUGUUGUAAGAGAAGAACGAGUGUGAGAGUGGAAAGUUCACACUGUGACGGUAUCUGACCAGAAAGGGACGGCUAACUACGUG
Molecule: ribosomal RNA, 495 nt
Filed under: uncultured bacterium
Lineage: Bacteria
Description: partial 16S ribosomal RNA
Rfam family: Bacterial small subunit ribosomal RNA
Source: RNAcentral